Molecule: transfer RNA, 70 nt
Filed under: Neucentropus mandjuricus
Lineage: Eukaryota; Metazoa; Arthropoda; Insecta; Trichoptera; Polycentropodidae
Description: tRNA-Pro
Source: RNAcentral
CAGGAGAUAAUUUAUUUUAAAAUUUUAAUUUUGGAGAUUAAAUAAAUGUAUAUAAUUUACAUUCUUUUGA